CCAGUGUGAUUUCAAUGUUCGGCUAUUGUGAACAGAGAAAGAGAUCAUCUCCCCUAAGGUGGAGAAGAUGAAGACGGGACAGAUCGACAAGACCAAGGAGCCCUUCAGUGUCAGGAACAAGCCAUUCUUCGACAUCCACGCAGCACGAAAGAUGGUGCAUGGAUGGGUAGAAUGUCAUUCUCCAUGAAUACAAUUGCAACACAACAGAAAAAAACAGCCUCAAUUCGUUGGGGCUUGGACUCUACAAGGUGUCGAAAGUGUUCCACAUGGAUGCUGGCCCAUGUCAACUUCAAUGCUUCACACAGUUGUGUCAAGUUGGCUGGAUGUCCUUUGGGUAGUGGACCUUUCUUGAUACACAGGUGAAACUGUUGAGCGUGAAAAAACCCAGCAGCAUUGCAGUUCUUAACCCAACGGAACGCACAAAAGACCACAUCCCUCCUCCUAGCAGCCAGCUGCCCUGCCCCUCCCGGUCUUCUCUCAGAGACAACAGCAUAUCAGGAGGCAGCCAUUGUCUGAACUGAGAAGUGGGAGUGUUGGAGGAUAUUGACAUUUAACACAUUCAAUAAAUAAUGUAUAAUUAACAAAAGGCUCUUAAUUAAUUUCACAACCACAGCUGUUGUUUUCCUCACACAUGAGCAAUGGGCGUGUCUAGGAGAUAUCAUCACCGAGCACUAA
Long non-coding RNA from Oncorhynchus nerka (sockeye salmon), 675 nucleotides. RefSeq lists it as uncharacterized. NCBI's taxonomy places the organism in Eukaryota, Metazoa, Chordata, Actinopteri, Salmoniformes, Salmonidae. The transcript is spliced from 3 exons. The record is from RefSeq and is a predicted model, not a curated record.